GACGAACGCUGGCGGCGUGCUUAACACAUGCAAGUCGAACGGAAAGGCCCCUUUGGGGGUCCUCGAGUGGCGAACGGGUGCGUAACACGUGAGUAACCUGCCCUUGACUUCGGGAUAACUUCAGGAAACUGGGGCUAAUACCGGAUAGGAAUCCUUGCUGCAUGGUGGGGGUUGGAAAGCUUCGGCGGUUUUGGAUGGACUCGCGGCUUAUCAGCUUGUUGGUGGGGUAGUGGCUUACCAAGGCUUUGACGGGUAGCCGGCCUGAGAGGGCGACCGGCCACAUUGGGACUGAGAUACGGCCCAGACUCCUACGGGAGGCAGCAGGGGGGAAUAUUGCACAAUGGGCGGAAGCCUGAUGCAGCAACGCCGCGUGCGGGAUGACGGCCUUCGGGUUGUAAACCGAUUUCAGCAGGGGCGAAGCUUGUGGUGACGGUACCUGCAGAAGAAGCACCGGCUAACUACGUG
RNAcentral lists this ribosomal RNA (465 nucleotides) under uncultured bacterium. Its description in RNAcentral is "partial 16S ribosomal RNA". It matches the Rfam family "Bacterial small subunit ribosomal RNA", at positions 28 to 507 of the family's 1533-position model. The record is from RNAcentral.